GCCGUUCGGUCAAAAAGGGUCCUCCCGUCUCUCCUCCUUCCUUCUCCCAGGAGGGAAGAUAUCAGACUCCCUUUUUCUCCUUGCCGCUUCCAUGCCCUCACGGCAGGGCAGCAGCACAUACUGAAACCGAGAUAGAUAGAUAAUGGAGCGGGCAUAUUCAUACUGAGAAAAACAGACAGACAGAGAGAGCAUCUGAUUAACUUGCCGGAUCGACAUCUGAGUAUCUUGUUCUACGCGGAUUGGGUGGUACUGUGUGAUCCCCCGCUUUGGAGGCAACUUCCUCAGGAUGAACAGAACCAAAGAAGAUGGCAGAAUCUCCACCAACUGCAACACAGCAUAACAGGAACAACUAGACUUGCUCAACAGUACAUCAGAAGAAGAGAAUAACUAAAUGCUAAAAAGCAACAGUCAUGCAACCAUGGCUUCUCUGAGGAAACUAUAAAACUACCAACCUCUGAAAACGGAAAACCUACUGUGACUCUUUAAACAGGGAAUCGCUGCAACAUCAAGAAGAGUCUGCCAAAAUGAAACAAAGCAAAUAACUAUUUGCAAGGUUUUAUUUUUUUUAAUGUAAUCACAAGCAGCCAAUUUUUAGAUAAAAAGACACUAAUUCAUGAGCAACUUUAAGCAGUUCAGCCACUUCAACAAGGAGGUAACUUAUAGCAGACACACAAUAAAGGUACAUACUUUUGGAUACUUUACUCAAGAUCAUUCUUGCAGAUGCAUAAGAAUUUGCAUCAAUUAUAUUUUUUACGUGGUUUAGUCCACAGCCAAUGGCUCGAGGACCACUAUAAGCGCGAAAUUAAGAUUAAUUACAGGAUUGGUGGGAAGAUAAUAGGCUAAACCAAGUUCCCGAAGGCAUGUUCUGGGAAGUGAAGGCUCUGUAGACUCAGAAAGGGGCCUGUUAAGAAGGCCCAAAAGUCUUCCUGACCUUUUUUAUUUGGCUUGAGCGCAUACCGUUGACUACCCUCAAACGCCAAAAUAAAUGGACAAGAGGAGCCACAUUAUUGGUUAACAACCACCACAUCUCUACAAUAAAUAACCUGAAAUAAUCAAAGUUUAAGAUUGUUCAGAUUCUAAUUGGUAUAUGAGUUCUUAAAUUCUCAUUGACAAACUCAGCCGCAGAACCAUCUUCCAGCCAAUUCCUCCAACUAAAAGUGUUCGUUCUUAUUGAGACAUGUAACCGUUUCCUUCCUUGACGUUCACUAAUUUCUCUCUUUCCAUAGGGACUUAGUCUAAGGUCCAACCCCGAGCUAAUCCUUCUCUACUUUAUUCCUACUGCUCUUGGCAUUAUUAGUGUAUAAUGUUAAUCCUCCCUUCUUACAAGAAACCUGACUUAAUCCUAUAAAGUAAUAUAUGCCCCAUGCAAAUGCUAGCCUCGGCUGCUAAAGGCAUGCCCAUCCAUGUUUAGGGAAAAAUUCUCUUUUGGCAGCUAGCUUUGUUGCGCUAACAUUACUGCUUCCACAGCAAAAUCAACUUGGUUGUCCUAAUCUCUUUCCCAGCAUAUUGGCUGACUAGUUAAAUUGACUAACAUGCAAGAGGCCCCCCAUCAAUCGUGACGGGUGAUGGUUCAAUUAAGCAAAGUCUUCACUUAGUCGGGAAAGAGUUGUACUGACUAUGUUCAAUUGCGCAGACACGUGCAGAGAUCUCAAAAACCAAACUCUCCAGAGCAAAUUUAGAAAUUGCAAAUAGGAUGUCCUUGGAACUUUAUGGAAAACCUGUGUGAUUCGGCCACAAGACACUAUAAACUAUAGAACAACCAUGCAUAGGGUUUCCUGCCAUAGCGUCAUGCCGUCACCCUAGGAGACUUCAAGUCUAAGCAGAAUCUAUUUAUAGAUUCUGAGAACAAAAUAACUAAGUUGUUCAUCAAAACUUUAGCCAACUAAGUGCUCGCAGGAAAGGAGGGAGGGGGGGUGGAGAUGUGAAGAAGAGCACUGUAACAUAGGGUUACAUUGGCCAGCCAACCUUACUCGGAUUCAUGAAACAGACCAUGGAACCAAACUGGUUCAUAAAAACCUAUAUUUUUUUUUGCUGAAUAAAAACCUAUAUAUUUGACUUUAGGCGAAUUAGUAACUUUAUGUAGAGCAUUUUGAAUGCUCCAAUGAGGCAGCAACUUAAGUAUAUUCCUCAAAUCAUAUAAACAGCUUAUAAUAGCUCAAAGAAAAGCAUUUUUUUGGCAUUAAUUAAUUCUCUACAAACCCAUUCCUUAUUCUGAAGGUGUUGUAUUCCAACAGACACUGAACAAAUACACAUAAUCAACCAAGGAAAAAUUCGUUCAGUCUCACAUAAUCGACCGAGUAAAUAUUUUUUGACCACCAAGCAAAUAAAUAUUUGCACAACUAUCCAAUCAGACAAGCAUGAAUUUUUAGCAGGAAAUUGCAAUGCAGAGGCAAUCACCUUCCCCCAUAAAGAAGAAAUCCAAGGGCUGCAAAUAGAGAGACACCUGCCAGAAGAUAGAGAGACAGCAGAAUGUAUUGGUGUGACUGAGCAACUAGCUGACUAGCCAUUACAGAAAAAAUACAGGGUUAAAGGCCAGUUACCAGCAAAGAACAUUUUCGAGAGAACAAUCACUGCAUGAACAGGCUUCCACCACAAUAUCAGCCACAUGGCAAUCUGAACAAUAUGUUUCAAAAUUAUAUUAUGUUAGAGAUGCUGAUACCUCUAAAUGAAAGAAUAGUUUCACAGUUCAAAGCCACAAAAGUGAACAUAUAAUUGCACUGAAGACAACAUAUUACUCAAGUAAUAGCAAUCUUCAAGAUAAUAGAAGCAAUGACAAUCUGUUAUAUGAUAUUGGUAGAAAAAUGAGCAAAAAGAAGGGAAAAAGUAGCUACUAGCCUUUCCGAAGAGGACUUGGCUAUAUAUAUAAAGUUCUGCUUUAUCUUACCAGUGAGGAGUUAUCUAGAUGCUCGAGGUCUCUAAAUAAUAGGAAAAAUAAGUUAGCUACUCGAUAGCUACUUGUUUGCUCAAACUUGACUCAUCAAUGUUGGAGCUCAAUCUAUGUUUAGUAACUGAAUAGCUGUUCCAAAUUUCAAAUGUGAGCAACUAGCUAAAAUACCAGUUCCAAGAGGGUAAUUUCUAAAUGUGCAUUUGUACCCUUCCUUCCCCUGGGAAACCUUGCUGUUUUCUGAACUGUCUCACUUUGGCUGUCUCCAUUAUGCAAGUCUCAAAGAAAAUUUACCCUUUCUGACUUGCCAAAGAAAAGAAAAAACUAAUUUUAACUACCCAUAACCUCAUUAUACUAAAAGUGAGACGAACAAGCAACACAAUCCUACAAAUUUGUGAUAGUCCAGGCCUACAGUCAAAAGGAUUUUACAUUUUAGAAAUUAAUUAGUGUAGGCAAACGAUACGCUAUUCAUGGGUUUUCUUAAGCAUUCAUUUGAAAAUUUCAACCUAAAUAUUGGCUUUGUUCAUCCGAGAAUAAUUAUUUCCACGACAAGGAAAUUACAUGUAUAUUGACUUUUAGACUGGGCGAUAACUAUAUUCUUCAGACUAGUAUCAUAGCUUAACAGAAAAUUUCACAUUUGAGGGAAUCCAUCCAGAGGAUUGAAAGUUCAAGAAGAAAAACUUAAUAUUAUUUUACAUUCUUAUUUCUUAAAGUAGCUUGCAUUAACCACACACAUACAUUAGGUUGAUGUACUGAGUCAUCAAUGAUUAGGCUGGGCCAACACUUAGGGACGGCAAUGGUGUUUGUGAAAAACCAUAUCCGCGGAUAACCGCACCAUUUUUAGCACCGAUAACCGCACCAAAUGGUUAUGGUGCGGAUAUGGUUUUUAAUUUCAAAAACCGCCACGGUGAAGUGCAAAUAUGAUUUUGAUGAAAAAAUCGCGGAUAAAACCGCACCACAAUAUUUACAUUUUUAUACAUAUAGAUUGGACUAAUUUUUCAACAACUUGUCCAAAUCCAAUCCUAAUCCAACUUGAUUUCUUAAUUUAUCUGUUAAUAUUAGCUAAUAAAACUAUAAAGAUAUAAUACUAAUCUAAGGAUAAUUUUUAUAUAUAGGAUUUUAAUUAAUUUAUUUCUUUUAACUGUUAUGUUUUUCUAGAUUUUUAUUUAACUUAAUUUUGCGGUGCGGUGCGGUGCGGAUAACUGCAGUUUUUUGGUGGUGAGGAUAUGAUUUUCAAUUUUCAAAACUGCAACGGAUACGGUGCACAGUUUUAUAUCGCGGUUCGGUUGCGGUUCUCGUGGUAUCCGCAGCACAUCCACGCUGCUGCCAUCCCUACCAACACUGAUGCAGGAGCAUUCACCAAGUUUAUAAUUUUAGUAGAUUUUCAUUUACUAUGUCUUUGUCGUAUUAAUUAUAAUAAGGCUUGUCGUAUUAAUUAUAAUAAGGCUUUUAGAGGGUUAAAGUGAUCAUCAGGCUUGUGCUUUAAGGUUAGGAUAUUUAAGUGAUCAUGUGUUAGAUGAUCAGGGUUGGGGUUAUAUAUAUCUUAUAGCCCCCCGGUAUAUAUUGUCUUGCGAGCGAUCACUAUGGAAGUGUCAUUAACAUUUCCUAACCUAGAGAUUCCAAAUCCAGUUUUGUUUCUCUUGUUCCUA
Punica granatum (pomegranate) is the source of this 4533-nucleotide non-coding RNA. The record is from RefSeq and is a predicted model, not a curated record. Lineage: Eukaryota; Viridiplantae; Streptophyta; Magnoliopsida; Myrtales; Lythraceae.